Phacochoerus africanus (Common warthog) is the source of this 891-nucleotide RNA transcript. It is a transcript of the gene named histone H3.3A-like, with no coding region annotated. NCBI's taxonomy places the organism in Eukaryota, Metazoa, Chordata, Mammalia, Artiodactyla, Suidae. The record is from RefSeq and is a predicted model, not a curated record. The transcript is spliced from 3 exons.
AUCUAUGAACCAGGAAGUGGGCUCUCACAAGACACUGAAUGUACUAGAACCUUGGUCUUGGACUCCCCAACCUCCAGAACUUGCUUCACGAGGAGGAACCUGGGUGUUCACUUUUAGACAUCAUGGGCCAUUUUGAGCCAGACCUGACGAUAUGCUUGUCUGGAUUCCCCUGGAAAUGUUCGCAGCCGCCGCCGCGCCGCCGUCGCUCGCCAACGCCAGCGCCGCCUCUAGCUCGCCGAGCUCCAGCUGAAGGAGAAGGGGGGUAAGUAAGGAGGUCUCUAUACCAUGGCUCGUACAAAACAGACCGCCAGCAAAUCGACUGGUGGUAAAGCACCGAGGAAGAACUGGCUACAAAAGCCGCUCGCAAGAGUGCGCCCUCUACUGGAGGGGUGAAGAAACCUCAUCGUUACAGGCCUGGUACUGUGGCACUCCGUGAAAUUAGACGUUAUCAGAAGUCCACUGAACUGAUUCGCAAGCUUCCCUUCCAGCGUCUUGGUGCGGGGAAUUGCUCAGGACUUCAAAACAGAUCUGCGCUUCCAGAGUGCAGCUAUUGGUGCUUUGCAGGAGGCAAGUGAGGCCUAUCUGGUUGGCCUUUUUGAAGACACCAACCUGUGUGCUAUCCAUGCCAAACAUGUAGCAAUUAUGCCAAAAGACCUCCAGCUAGCAUGCCGCAUUACGUGGAGAACGUGCUUAAGAAUCCACUAUGAUGGGAAACAUUUCAUUCUUUAAAAAAAAAAAUUCUCUUCUUCCUGUUAUUGGUAGUUCUGAACGUUAGAUAUUUUUUUUUCCAUGGGGUCAAAAGGUACCUAAGUAUAUGAUUACAAGUGGAAAAAUAGGGGACAGAAAUCAGGUAUUGGCAGUUUUUCCAUUUUCAUUUGUGUGUGAAUUUUU